This 247-nucleotide ribosomal RNA is filed under the name uncultured bacterium. Its description in RNAcentral is "partial 16S ribosomal RNA". It matches the Rfam family "Bacterial small subunit ribosomal RNA", at positions 523 to 769 of the family's 1533-position model. The record is from RNAcentral.
AUACGUAGGUGGCGAGCGUUGUCCGGAAUUACUGGGUGUAAAGGGCGUGUAGGCGGGAAUGUAAGUCAGAUGUGAAAUGCCGAGGCUUAACCUCGGAGCUGCAUCUGAAACUGCGUUUCUUGAGUGUCGGAGAGGAAAGCGGAAUUCCCAGUGUAGCGGUGAAAUGCGUAGAUAUUGGGAGGAACACCAGUGGCGAAGGCGGCUUUCUGGACGAUAACUGACGCUGAGGCGCGAAAGCGUGGGGAGC